Long non-coding RNA from Larimichthys crocea (large yellow croaker), 2082 nucleotides. RefSeq lists it as uncharacterized. NCBI's taxonomy places the organism in Eukaryota, Metazoa, Chordata, Actinopteri, Sciaenidae. The transcript is spliced from 2 exons. The record is from RefSeq and is a predicted model, not a curated record.
CCUCUGAUGUACUCAUUCCUGAUCCUUUCCAUCUUGGUCACUCCCAAAGAGAACCUCAACUAGACAUGCUAAAUCCUAAAAGUACUUAUUGCUGCAUGUCAUAGUCGCACUGUACCUUGAUUGUUUCCCUUUUUUUGUAAGUCACUUUGGAUCAAAGCUUCCGCUAAAAAUGUAAAUGUGAGUCCUAUGAAAAAUAGUGUAACAAUAUCUUAAUCAAAAGCUUGGGAGCCACUAAAGUUAUAGCGUACAAUUUGUGCUUCCAGAAGUUUGUGCAAAAGUCAGACCCUGGCAGAUCUGUUGUGUACUUGUCUGAGCACAGAUGUCUGUUGAGAUGUUUUUGCUGAAACCACAAAGGGAUGUUUAUUCAGAGGUUCUUUUAUCUGUCUACAUGUCUUGUCUAUACAGGGAAUGAAAUUAUUAUAAAUCUUACAAUAUUUUAAGAAGAUUUCUGAUAUUGCACGUCACCUGGGCAGCUUGAAUUGUAUAUUAUUACAUAUUAUAUUUGAUUUACCAAAUUUUUAUGAACAUGUGUGAACAUUGGCUGCUGUGAGACGGGCAUUACGUGUAAUUUCUUUGCUCAAGCAGAAGUUGUUCUAACUGCCUGCGCUCUCUCUCUCAGCACACAGUGUACUCUGACGCAGGUCAUUGACCCUGCAUUAGGUCAUUGGAGGCUUUCCAUGUUUUGUUUCACAGAGGAAAGAACAGUUUAGUAACAAGGAAAGCAUUGAGUCUGAAAAAAGGGGAGUGAUGUUCCCAGCAAGAUUCUCAUCUUAUAAUAGACGGGACGGAAGUAGCAGGAUAAAUACUGUGCCCUGCAGUGUUUACAUGACACUCCUGGCUUCAGUUCAGUUAACUCCUCACCUGAUCAUGACUUGACAUGCAAGUAUUUGUCUUCUUCGUUUCUCCUUUUGUGGUCUUCAUUAAUUCAGCUUGCAGCUGCUGCGACGUAAUGUGAGAGUGGAAUGAAAAGCUUUUCCCGGAAGGAAGUCAUCUCGUCUUGGAAAAUACACAAAGACCGUCGACCAUCAGCGACCGAACACUGUGCUUCUCUUAACACUCUGCGACGUUCCGCAUGUUAUUCUUUUCUGGGGUUUUUUUUUGUUAGCGUGCACUUCAGUAAUGUUUUAUCCUGCCGUGCACUGAGCACCUCCGUUAAAUCAUUUGUGAUUACAGAGUCUCUCACUUAUCCUUAGUGGUGUCUAACCAUGCAAAGUGUUUUAUUUGCUUAGUCUUGAGAUAUCUGUCUUCAGAUUUCAGCCUACAUCCCAACAUAACGUCCCUGCAAGAGCCAAUUAAAUGGCUGUUUGUCUUCAUCCUCGGCCAGGAGCACAGUGAAACCAAAGUUUCUAGCUGUUCUUUCAAAUUUUCUUUAUAUCUGCCAAAGUAAAGCAAAAACAAACAACAAUAAAAAACGCCUUCAGAUUGAGCGAGUUGAUCUCAGUGAGAAAGAAAAGUCUUGAUUCUUGUGGAAAAGAACAUCUUCCCGUCUGUCUUUGAUUGAAAUGAUCGGUGAACUAAACGAGCUGUUUGCAUGGAUGAGUUGUCUCCUCCUCCAUCCUGCUUCAGGCUUCAUAAUCAGUUCACCAUCAUGUGUCUUUGUUAUGAACAGGAGGCACCACACAGUAAGUCAAUAUUGGACUUUUAAUGUGAAACAGUAUCCUGAUUACUCUGAAUAGUUCCUACUGAUUAAAUAGUUCCUCUGAAACUUGACAGCGGUUGAGUUUUGGAUGCCGUGAGCUGCAAAAAAACCCAGAAAAAAUUAAGUUUUAAAGACGGAUAUUUAUAAAACUGAAACUCUCAGCGUGGUUCAAUCUGAUUAGUUUUAGGUAGGAGGCCAACAAAAUUAGCUUUUAUUCAUUUCCCCCCACACCUGCAAGACUUUCCAAGACGAAUGCGGAAACUGAAUUUCCGUGACGCGUUUUAUUGUUUUACACACUGUUCAGCCAGCUCCUCAUAUCCGAAUGCAAAUGUUCUUUUUUUCAUGCACAACUGAUAAGUCAGUGGUUAUUUCCUUCAUGCACAGUACAUUGUGGUACAGAUUGUGCUUAAGGCUAUGUGAAUAAAACAUUACAUUGUAACAUU